CAGUAGCCGCGGUAAUGCGAAGGGGGCUAGCGUUGUUCGGAUUUACUGGGCGUAAAGCGCACGUAGGCGGACUUUUAAGUCAGGGGUGAAAUCCCGGGGCUCAACCCCGGAACUGCCUUUGAUACUGGGAGUCUUGAGUUCGAGAGAGGUGAGUGGAAUUGCGAGUGUAGAGGUGAAAUUCGUAGAUAUUCGCAGGAACACUAGUGGCGAAGGCGGCUCACUGGCUCGAUACUGACGCUGAGGUGCGAAAGCGUGGGGAGCAAACAGGAUUAGAUACCCCUGAAGUCCCUGUCUCUUAUAC
Molecule: ribosomal RNA, 301 nt
Filed under: uncultured bacterium
Lineage: Bacteria
Description: partial 16S ribosomal RNA
Rfam family: Bacterial small subunit ribosomal RNA
Source: RNAcentral